AAGUCGUAACAAGGUUUCCGUAGGUGAACCUGCGGAAGGAUCAUUAACACGUAUCCAACGUUAAACAACCCUGUGAACUUUCAGACGUUCUUGUAGCCCUGGCGGAACAGCAAUCCCGGUAAAUCAAUGGCGGAAAAAGUUUUGAUUCGGGACCUCUGCCCAAAAGGUAUAAAGUUACAAUCGAGCUAGAGCACGGUGGCAUGGUUUCCCUAAGCAGUGAGGGAUCCACUGAGUAAGGAUAACGCUUCACGGUUGCUAGAGGUCGAUCACCGGCCGGCAAACAUGUCACAGGGCUAUAUGCCCCCCCUUUCACACCUUGCACUGAUCAAGCCCCACGGAAACGUCGGGGCAUUAAAACGAACAACUGUUAACAAUGGAUAUCUUGGUUCUC
This 391-nucleotide unclassified non-coding RNA is filed under the name fungal sp. RNAcentral describes it as "partial internal transcribed spacer region". The stretch from base 1 to 46 matches the Rfam family "Eukaryotic small subunit ribosomal RNA", at positions 1786 to 1831 of the family's 1831-position model. RNAcentral also lists the same sequence under 1 other name. Lineage: Eukaryota; Fungi. The record is from RNAcentral.